UUUUAUAAAAAUGCAUCAGGUGCUGUGUAACGAAUGUACGCAGCUUAAAAGGGAAGACCGGUGAAAAGCCGGCGCGGUCCCGCCACUGUAAUGGGGAGCAACUUAUUAACCACUGUUUCAUGUUGAAAUGGGAAGGGAUAGGAAGCGAUGAACCUAAGUCAGGAGACCUGCCUGUUGUAUGCACUUAAG
RNAcentral lists this non-coding RNA (189 nucleotides) under Priestia megaterium. Lineage: Bacteria; Bacillati; Bacillota; Bacilli; Caryophanales; Bacillaceae. RNAcentral also lists the same sequence under 1 other name. The record is from RNAcentral.